This is a non-coding RNA of Candidatus Giovannonibacteria bacterium RIFCSPLOWO2_12_43_8, 82 nucleotides long. The record is from Rfam. NCBI's taxonomy places the organism in Bacteria, Candidatus Giovannoniibacteriota.
GCCGAGGUGGCGAAAUUGGCAGACGCGCCAGCCUUAGGAGCUGGUGGGGCAACCCGUGGGAGUUCAAAUCUCCCCCUCGGCA